Molecule: non-coding RNA, 95 nt
Filed under: Psychrobacillus sp. FJAT-21963
Lineage: Bacteria; Bacillati; Bacillota; Bacilli; Caryophanales; Bacillaceae
Also listed under: 1 other name
Description: Glycine riboswitch aptamer
Rfam family: Glycine riboswitch aptamer
About the family: This family represents the bacterial glycine riboswitch. Glycine riboswitches usually consist of two metabolite-binding aptamers domains with similar structures in tandem.
Source: Rfam by way of RNAcentral
AUGAGGAUACGGGGAGAGAACGCCUAAAGUGCGUCGCCGAAGGAGCAAGUAAAGAAAUUUAUGAAUCUCUCAGGCAAAAGAACUCGUAUAGGACG